Molecule: transfer RNA, 65 nt
Filed under: Mandarella flaviventris
Lineage: Eukaryota; Metazoa; Arthropoda; Insecta; Coleoptera; Chrysomelidae
Description: tRNA-Asn
Source: RNAcentral
UUAAUUGAGACCAAAAUAGAGGUCUAUCACUGUUAAUGAUAAAAUUGAGAACAACUCCAAUUAAG